AAGCCAAGACCACACUCACCUCUUGAGGAAGAUCUUUGACAAGACUGUGUCCUGUCACUGUGAUGAACAAAACUGGGAAGCAGCAGGAGCAGCAGUGAGACUGGGAUAGAUGAAUUAAAUGCCCUGGGGAGUAAGGCAUUAACCAAGCACCUGGAGUACCACCACAGGAGUCCUUGUGCUGUGCAGCACCUGCUGCAUGAAGCUGCAUCCUCUCAGAAUUAACGAAGUCCAAAUGAAUCUGCAUCUAGAGUUUAAUAUCUUAAAUCAUACUGAACUCUCUAAAACCACCUACAUUUGUCAAUACAUCAUAUUCUUGGAUGACACCAAUUGUCACAGCUGCACUGAGGCUCAGUAAGCCAGUUCAAUAUAGCAGCGACCAAAAAAAAUUCCAUCUUGGGAUCCAUUCCAAUGACAAAAAAUAAAGCAUUUCCUUAUGUUCCACUCUCUUCUCUCCACCCCCAUCCCCCGCUCUUUUUCUCCCUUGUGUUUGAAGGAAACAGCUUUGUAA
Pogoniulus pusillus (Red-fronted tinkerbird) is the source of this 508-nucleotide long non-coding RNA. RefSeq lists it as uncharacterized. Lineage: Eukaryota; Metazoa; Chordata; Aves; Piciformes; Lybiidae. The transcript has 2 exons. The record is from RefSeq and is a predicted model, not a curated record.